GGGCCUAAAGGAGCGUGGCACGUGGCCUGAGAAAAUCUGUGUAUGUAACCACGCGAGUCAGCCACGGAAGGACGCUGAAUACGAAAGACUGCGCUUAACACACAAAAGCACCGAGAACCGAGGAGGAGGUUCUACACCCAGCCAGGAACCCAACACCAGGUUUGAACCCAUGACACCGAGAUCAAGAGUCAGAUGCUUAACCACCUGAGCUAGCCACUCAGGUGCCCUGGAUUUCGACAUUUAUUGUAUCUCUUGCCAUAAAGAGUUUAAAUUCGCGAAAUGCACAGUGCCAGACACAUAGUAAAUGCUAUUAUUGUAAAUAAAUAUAACAAUUUCUAAUUUCAUAAA
Felis catus (domestic cat) is the source of this 348-nucleotide long non-coding RNA. RefSeq lists it as uncharacterized. The record is from RefSeq and is a predicted model, not a curated record. Lineage: Eukaryota; Metazoa; Chordata; Mammalia; Carnivora; Felidae. The transcript has 2 exons.